This 468-nucleotide ribosomal RNA is filed under the name uncultured bacterium. Its description in RNAcentral is "partial 16S ribosomal RNA". It matches the Rfam family "Bacterial small subunit ribosomal RNA", at positions 28 to 507 of the family's 1533-position model. The record is from RNAcentral.
GACGAACGCUGGCGGCGUGCUUAACACAUGCAAGUCGAACGGAAAGGCCCUGCUUUUGUGGGGUGCUCGAGUGGCGAACGGGUGAGUAAAACGCGAGUAACCCGCCCCUGACUUUGGGAUAACUUCAGGAAACUGGGGCUAAUAUCGGAUAGGAGCUCUUGCUGCACGGUGGGGGUUGGAAAGUUUCGGCGGUUGGGGAUGGACUCGAGGCUUAUGAGCCUGUUGGUGGGGUAGUGGCUUACCAAGGCUUUGACGGGUAGCCGGCCUGAGAGGGUGACCGGGCACAAUGGGACUGAGAUACGGCCCAGACGCCUACGGGACGCAGCGGUGGGGAAUAUUGCGCAAUGGGCGGAAGCCUGAGGCGGCAGCGCCGCGUGCGGGAUGACGGCCUUCGAGUGGUAAACCGCUUUCGCCGGUGACGAAGCGUGAGUGACGGUAAUGAGUAAGGAAGCACCGGCUAACUACGUG